Long non-coding RNA from Haliotis rubra (blacklip abalone), 190 nucleotides. RefSeq lists it as uncharacterized. The record is from RefSeq and is a predicted model, not a curated record. NCBI's taxonomy places the organism in Eukaryota, Metazoa, Mollusca, Gastropoda, Lepetellida, Haliotidae. The transcript has 3 exons.
AUAGGGAGAGAGCCUGUAGCUGUAUACUGGAACUCUCUAUUAUCGUGGGCUCUCUAUUAUCGAGGCACGAGAAAACAUCGGGAAAACAGAUACACCACGCCCCGCAUCAGCUGUUUACAUAUGCAAAUUACGUAAAUUAUAUUCAUCGCUCUUGAAAAAGUCAUCUAUUUCAUUGGAAUGUCAUGUCUAA